UAUUUUUGCGCCGUAAUUGGUCUCCCGACGGUACCGUCGGGGGUUAAAAGGGAAACCGGUGAAAAUCCGGUGCUAUCCCCGUAGCUGUAAGUUCAUUAUCGUGAAAUCCCGACUAAAGUCGGGACAAGCCAUGAAACGGCAAACGUGAAAUACGUACCCGCCAUUUCAUCAGCCUGACAAAAGGCAAACUUCACGACUGUUGUUACUCCACACCACUGUUCCGCCAAUACCGGAAUGGGAAGGUCUGACAACAGAGAACGAGCCAGAAGACCUGCCAGUUGCAGUUUUUACAU
Molecule: non-coding RNA, 293 nt
Filed under: Niastella populi
Lineage: Bacteria; Pseudomonadati; Bacteroidota; Chitinophagia; Chitinophagales; Chitinophagaceae
Source: RNAcentral